Molecule: long non-coding RNA, 513 nt
Filed under: Phaseolus vulgaris (common bean)
Lineage: Eukaryota; Viridiplantae; Streptophyta; Magnoliopsida; Fabales; Fabaceae
Description: long non-coding RNA (PVUL_LNC002855)
Source: RNAcentral
CUCAGAAAACCGAAAACGAAGAAACCGAGUUCAAGGUUCCCGAAACUAUUACUCUCUGCGUUAACAACUGCGGCGUCACCGGGAACCCCGCCACCAACAACAUGUGCCAGAACUGCUUUACCGCUUUCACCGCCUCCACCGCCACAACCUCAUCCGCCGCCUCUGCCGGAAUCUCCUCGCCCUCCGCUAGAUCCGUUGCUUCCGCGCGUCCUCAGAAGAGAUCCUUCCCCGAAGAGCCUUCUUCGGCUGCAGAUCCUCCCUCCUCCGACCAAAACGCGCCGUCCGAGGCCAAACGCGUCGUCAACCGCUGCUCCGGUUGCCGGCGGAAGGUUGGACUCACCGGAUUCCGAUGCCGGUGCGGCGACCUCUUCUGCGCGGAGCAUCGGUACUCCGACCGCCACGACUGCAGUUACGACUACAAAGCCGCCGGAAGAGAAGCCAUCGCCAGGGAGAAUCCGGUGGUCAGAGCCGCCAAGAUUGUUAAAGUCUGAAAGAAAGGAAAAAAACACAAAA